Molecule: ribosomal RNA, 459 nt
Filed under: uncultured bacterium
Lineage: Bacteria
Description: bacterial SSU rRNA
Rfam family: Bacterial small subunit ribosomal RNA
Source: RNAcentral
AACGAACGCUGGCGGCAGGCCUAACACAUGCAAGUCGAGCGGGACCUUCGGGUCUAGCGGCGGACGGGUUAGUAACGCGUGGGAACGUGCCCAAAGGUACGGAAUAGCCUCGGGAAACUGAGAGUAAUACCGUAUGUGCCCCUCGGGGGAAAGAUUUAUCGCCUUUGGAUCGGCCCGCGUUGGAUUAGGUAGUUGGUGGGGUAAUGGCCUACCAAGCCGACGAUCCAUAGCUGGUUUGAGAGGAUGAUCAGCAACACUGGGACUGAGACACGGCCCAGACUCCUACGGGAGGCAGCAGUGGGGAAUCUUAGACAAUGGGGGAAACCCUGAUCUAGCCAUGCCGCGUGAGCGAUGAAGGCCUUAGGGUUGUAAAGCUCUUUCAGAUGGGAAGAUAAUGACGGUACCAUCAGAAGAAGCCCCGGCUAACUCCGUGCCAGCAGCCGCGGUAAUGUCUGUACU